UACGGAGGGUGCUAGCGUUGUUCGGAAUGACUGGGCGUAAAGGGCGCGUAGGCGGCCGGUUGCGUCGGAUGUGAAAGCCCGGGGCUCAACCCCGGAACGGCAUCCGAUACGGGCUGGCUCGAGACCGAGAGAGGUGAGUGGAAUACCCAGUGUAGAGGUGAAAUUCGUAGAUAUUGGGUGGAACACCGGUGGCGAAAGCGGCUCACUGGCUCGGUUCUGACGCUGAGGUGCGAAAGCGUGGGGAGCAAACAGG
RNAcentral lists this ribosomal RNA (253 nucleotides) under uncultured bacterium. RNAcentral describes it as "partial 16S ribosomal RNA". It matches the Rfam family "Bacterial small subunit ribosomal RNA", at positions 524 to 776 of the family's 1533-position model. The record is from RNAcentral.